CCUACGGGUGGCUGCAGUGGGGAAUAUUGGACAAUGGGGGGAGCCCUGAUCCAGCCAUGCCGCGUGUGUGAAGAAGGCCCUCGGGUUGUAAAGCACUUUCAGUGAGGAAGAACGCCUGGUGGUUAAUACCCAUCAGGAAAGACAUCACUCACAGAAGAAGCACCGGCUAACUCCGUGCCAGCAGCCGCGGUAAUACGGAGGGUGCGAGCGUUAAUCGGAAUUACUGGGCGUAAAGCGCGCGUAGGUGGCUUGAUAAGCCGGUUGUGAAAGCCCCGGGCUCAACCUGGGAACGGCAUCCGGAACUGUCAAGCUAGAGUGCAGGAGAGGAAGGUAGAAUUCCCGGUGUAGCGGUGAAAUGCGUAGAGAUCGGGAGGAAUACCAGUGGCGAAGGCGGCCUUCUGGACUGACACUGACACUGAGGUGCGAAAGCGUGGGUAGCAAACAGGAUUAGAUACCCGAGUAGUC
This 465-nucleotide ribosomal RNA is filed under the name Vreelandella stevensii. RNAcentral's name for it is "partial 16S ribosomal RNA". It matches the Rfam family "Bacterial small subunit ribosomal RNA", at positions 338 to 795 of the family's 1533-position model. The record is from RNAcentral. Lineage: Bacteria; Pseudomonadati; Pseudomonadota; Gammaproteobacteria; Oceanospirillales; Halomonadaceae.